Small nuclear RNA from Otolemur garnettii (small-eared galago), 104 nucleotides. The record is from Ensembl. Lineage: Eukaryota; Metazoa; Chordata; Mammalia; Primates; Galagidae.
GUGUUCACUUCGGCAGCACAUACACUAAAAUUGGAACAAUACAGAGAUUAGCGUGGCCCCUGCACAAGGAUGACAUGCAAAUUUGUGAAGCAUUCCAUAUUUUU